This is a long non-coding RNA of Leptopilina boulardi, 1364 nucleotides long. RefSeq lists it as uncharacterized. Lineage: Eukaryota; Metazoa; Arthropoda; Insecta; Hymenoptera; Figitidae. The transcript is spliced from 3 exons. The record is from RefSeq and is a predicted model, not a curated record.
UAAAAUGAAUUAUAUUGAUUCACCACAAUGCUUUAUACGUUUAUAUUAGUUAUUUUUUUUAAAUCAAAUUACAAACGGUGUAUAUAACAAGUUUCAAUUACGAGAUGCAUGACCGAAUGUUGUCAACCGAUUGAGGUUAAUGAAUUUAUUGAAUUUGAAUUUCAAAAGCUCUCGAAAAUUUAUUCAACAAAUAUAUAAAAUGUAUCCACAAUGACAUAUAUAGUUUUAUAGGUUAUGUUCGGACAUAGUCGUUACGAGAAAAGGACAUACCUGUAGCUAGUAUUGUGUAUACCAUCGAUUUCAAUUUUAUGACCUCGUAAAUUUAUUGUGGACCACACAGUGCAUCAUAACCGAAACGGCUGACUUUGAAAGCGUUUUCUUCAACGCAAUCCCUCUCUAGCGAGCCUUUAGUGCGCCAACAGGGGCCAAAAAGAAAGAACGACGACAAGAGAAAAACAAUAUUUUAUUCGUCUUUUCUACCAAGCAAAUUCACUGUUGCAUCUUAUAGAGGCACUUGGACGAGAAUCAAGAGUAAAGAAAGUAGAUUGGCUUUUUAUGGAAAAUUCACAUUUACUUGGAUGGGCCGAAAACAAGGAAAAUUGAUUAUUUAUUGCCCAAAUGCGGAAAAGUGGUUUAUAUGCUCUUCGAAAUGAAUAAUAUAUCGCAAUACAGUGCCAAGACAAAGGGUUACAUUGGAGAAAAAGGAUUUUAGACUAGGAUUUAAGACUGAAAUAUUCGAAAAAGCGAAACAGUGGCUUAGCAUCGUCGAGGAUUACGUACAUGGUUUGGAAAAGAUAGGUUAUGUGGAUGAAUGGAGAAGGAAGGAUGAAGAUGGGACAAAAGGAUCUAACGGGAUGGGAGAGGGAACAGUAUCGUCCUUUCGUCAGUCCUCUGAAAAAUAAGCUUUACCCCCCAUCCCCCGUAUCUUCUCAUACAAUCUUUCUCUCCGGCACAAUUUCCCGCGCACAAAAGCUUUUUCGCGAAUCGCGCAGAAGCACAAUCGCGGAAUCCAAUUUAAUAAUAGUUUUCUCUCGCAAGGAAUAAGCGCAAUCGAAAUCGACGAGAGAACUCGGAUCUGGAGAAAGAAACUCGAGAUUCUUUAACCCUCAUUUUUCUUUUUCGAUAGAUAUGUCAACCUAUAUAUAUAUAUAUAUAUACUUGCUUCUCCAAAAAGAACACACGAAAUAAUUUCUUAAAAUGACAAUGAUUUUCGCGAUACACGCAAUGAUAAAAAAUUUAUUUGAUUCAAUUAAUUCAAAUUAAUUGAAAAAUAAUUGCUUGGAUCAAAUAUUUUUUAUUAACGCGCCGAUCACAUGCGGUGCGGGUUCUCAAAAGGCCCAGGUACUGGAGUUAUACAAUGAUCA